CGAGAACGAACGCUGGCGGCAUGCCUAACACAUGCAAGUCGAACGAGACCUUCGGGUCUAGUGGCGCACGGGUGCGUAACGCGUGGGGAUCUGCCCUUUGCUUCGGAAUAACAGUUAGAAAUGACUGCUAAUACCGGAUGAUGACUUCGGUCCAAAGAUUUAUCGGCAAAGGAUGAACCCGCGUAGGAUUAGCUAGUUGGUGGGGUAAAGGCCUACCAAGGCGACGAUCCUUAGCUGGUCUGAGAGGAUGAUCAGCCACACUGGGACUGAGACACGGCCCAGACUCCUACGGGAGGCAGCAGUGGGAAUAUUGGACAAUGGGCGAAAGCCUGAUCCAGCAAUGCCGCGUGAGUGAUGAAGGCCUUAGGGUUGUAAAGCUCUUUUACCCGGGAUGAUAAUGACAGUACCGGGAGAAUAAGCUCCGGCUAACUCCGUG
This 436-nucleotide ribosomal RNA is filed under the name uncultured bacterium. RNAcentral's name for it is "bacterial SSU rRNA". It matches the Rfam family "Bacterial small subunit ribosomal RNA", at positions 26 to 507 of the family's 1533-position model. The record is from RNAcentral.